UACAGAGGUCCCAAGCGUUGUUCGGAUUCAUUGGGCGUAAAGGGUGCGUAGGCGGCGCGGUAAGUCGGGUGUGAAAUCCCGGGGCUCAACCCCGGAACUGCAUUGGAUACUGCCUUGCUUGAGUACUGGAGAGGGAACUGGAAUUUACGGUGUAGCAGUGAAAUGCGUAGAGAUCGUAAGGAAGGCCAGUGGCGAAGGCGAGUUCCUGGACAGUGACUGACGCUGAGGCACGAAGGCCAGGGGAGCAAACGGG
RNAcentral lists this ribosomal RNA (253 nucleotides) under uncultured bacterium. RNAcentral describes it as "partial 16S ribosomal RNA". It matches the Rfam family "Bacterial small subunit ribosomal RNA", at positions 524 to 776 of the family's 1533-position model. The record is from RNAcentral.